AACGGUCUAUACCUGCGGUACCUGCGGAGGGAUCAUUAUCAAUUUACAGCGGACUUCGGUCCUGUCUGCACCCUUGUCCUUUGCGUACUAUAUGUUUCCUCGGUGGGCUUGCCUGCCGAUAGGACACUUAUAAACUCUUUUGUAAUUGCAAUCAGCGUCAGAAAACUAUAAUAGUUACAACUUUUAACAAUGGAUCUCU
RNAcentral lists this unclassified non-coding RNA (199 nucleotides) under soil metagenome. Its description in RNAcentral is "partial contains 5.8S ribosomal RNA, internal transcribed spacer 2, and large subunit ribosomal RNA". The record is from RNAcentral.